GUAGUGGCUAGGCCGGGGGGUUAGGCGUCCCCUGUAACCUGAAAUCGCCUUAUGCAGGGGCCGAAAACUUGGGGGCGGCAUGGGUUCCCCUAUUCAUUCCCAGAUUCUACAAUGACAUUUCGUCCUGUGGGGUAAGACGGUGGAGGGGCCUACUUUGUAGAAAGUAGGUAACCUCCUUAGUCUGCCGAACCCCGUCAGGCCCGGAAGGGAGCAGCGGUAGGUGGAACGUCGACGCUCACAGGGUAGCGGAAUGGAGUAGAAUCUGGGGUUAAAUGGAUAGGGAGUAUCCAUGUCCACCCCAAGGAAGCCAUCUU
Molecule: signal recognition particle RNA, 314 nt
Filed under: Methanothermococcus okinawensis
Lineage: Archaea; Methanobacteriati; Methanobacteriota; Methanococci; Methanococcales; Methanococcaceae
Description: signal recognition particle sRNA
Rfam family: Archaeal signal recognition particle RNA
Source: RNAcentral